UACGUAGGGUGCGAGCGUUAAUCGGAAUUACUGGGCGUAAAGCGCACGUAGGCGGGUCGUUAAGUCAGGGGUGAAAUCCCAGAGCUCAACUCUGGAACUGCCUUUGAUACUGGCGACCUAGAGUCCGGAAGAGGUUAGUGGAAUUCCCAGUGUAGAGGUGAAAUUCGUAGAUAUUGGGAAGAACACCAGUGGCGAAGGCGGCUAACUGGUCCGGUACUGACGCUGAGGUGCGAAAGCGUGGGGAGCAAACAGG
This 253-nucleotide ribosomal RNA is filed under the name uncultured bacterium. RNAcentral describes it as "partial 16S ribosomal RNA". It matches the Rfam family "Bacterial small subunit ribosomal RNA", at positions 524 to 776 of the family's 1533-position model. The record is from RNAcentral.